UACGUAGGGUGCGAGCGUUAAUCGGAAUUACUGGGCGUAAAGGGUGCGCAGGCGGCUUCGCAAGUCGAGUGUGAAAUCCCCGAGCUUAACUUGGGAAUUGCGCUCGAAACUACGGAGCUGGAGUGUGGCAGAGGAAGGUGGAAUUCCACGUGUAGCGGUGAAAUGCGUAGAGAUGUGGAGGAACACCGAUGGCGAAGGCAGCCUUCUGGGCCACCACUGACGCUCAUGCACGAAAGCGUGGGGAGCAAACAGG
This 253-nucleotide ribosomal RNA is filed under the name uncultured bacterium. Its description in RNAcentral is "partial 16S ribosomal RNA". It matches the Rfam family "Bacterial small subunit ribosomal RNA", at positions 524 to 776 of the family's 1533-position model. The record is from RNAcentral.